This 485-nucleotide long non-coding RNA is filed under the name Bos taurus (domestic cattle). RNAcentral describes it as "long non-coding RNA NONBTAT004966". The record is from RNAcentral. Lineage: Eukaryota; Metazoa; Chordata; Mammalia; Artiodactyla; Bovidae.
AGGGAAUUGACUCCAAGAAAGGAUUGAAAUGGAAUGAGAAGCUUUGGAGUGAAGAUCUAGAGAUUCGUGUCAGAUUAAGCUGAGAUUGAGAAGAGGAGAGAGAUCCAAAGGAAUGUAUUGUACUUCAAGUGCAUUUCUUUAAAAGAGUUAUUCCAGAAGAGUUACCUGCUUCUAUUGCUAAGUAUUAAGCUUAGGUAUUUCCACAAAGCACUCCUUUUUGUAAAUAAAGAGUAGAACAUGUAUAGCUAUAUUAUAUUAUAGUUAUAAUCUACUCCCAAAGCCCACAUUUUUUUUAGUUUGAACACACAAAUUUAAUACAUGAAAAGAUGACAUUUAAACUGAAUAAACUGUUUCAGUGUUGGAUAAACUUUCAGCUGAGGUUGUACAUUUAUAGAUCAGAACAUAUAUAUUUGUCCAUUCGUUUAACAAUUAUUCAGUGCCUGCUCACUGCUUCUCAUUACAUGUAGUGUUCAUAUUAUUAAUGC